RNAcentral lists this ribosomal RNA (259 nucleotides) under uncultured bacterium. Its description in RNAcentral is "partial 16S ribosomal RNA". It matches the Rfam family "Bacterial small subunit ribosomal RNA", at positions 95 to 354 of the family's 1533-position model. The record is from RNAcentral.
UUGGCGGACAGGUGAGUAACGCGUGGGGAACCUGCCCUGUACAGGGGGAUAACACUUAGAAAUAGGUGCUAAUACCGCAUAAGCGCACGGGAGCGCAUGCUCCUGUGUGAAAAACUCCGGUGGUAUGGGAUGGACCCGCGUCUGAUUAGCCAGUUGGCAGGGUAACGGCCUACCAAAGCGACGAUCAGUAGCCGGCCUGAGAGGGUGGACGGCCACAUUGGGACUGAGACACGGCCCAAACUCCUACGGGAGGCAGCAG